GUUUGAAAUGUUGCCUAACAAUGGUUUUCUCUCUUUAACUCACCAUUCUGCACCAUCUGUUAGAGAGUGCCUAUUUUGAACACAGUGUCUCAUGCACCCUAUCAUUCUUAUAGCUCCUGGAGGAGCCAGGCUGUUUGGAGAAGGAAUCGUGGCUUUGGGAAAAGGAAGAGGAAGAAAAGCUGGACAUUGGUCUUUUCCUUCCUUCAGACUCCUGGGGCUGGACUUCUCAGCAUCCAUAAUCAUUGGCCGUGUGUAGAAAGAUGAAAGACAUUCUUUGUUUGUGGUGUGGGCCCUGUUUAUAUCCUACGAAAGACAGGACUGCACAUCAGGCCAUUUGAAAACUUCUGGAUUACUAAGGGAAUUUUCCAAUAUUCACAGUGUUUAAAGUAAAGAAAUUAAGUCUUGAUU
Long non-coding RNA from Mirounga angustirostris (Northern elephant seal), 408 nucleotides. RefSeq lists it as uncharacterized. The record is from RefSeq and is a predicted model, not a curated record. The transcript is spliced from 3 exons. NCBI's taxonomy places the organism in Eukaryota, Metazoa, Chordata, Mammalia, Carnivora, Phocidae.